RNAcentral lists this ribosomal RNA (253 nucleotides) under uncultured bacterium. RNAcentral's name for it is "partial 16S ribosomal RNA". It matches the Rfam family "Bacterial small subunit ribosomal RNA", at positions 524 to 776 of the family's 1533-position model. The record is from RNAcentral.
UACGAAGGGGGCUAGCGUUGCUCGGAAUCACUGGGCGUAAAGGGUGCGUAGGCGGGUCUUUAAGUCAGGGGUGAAAUCCUGGAGCUCAACUCCAGAACUGCCUUUGAUACUGGCGAUCUUGAGUCCGGGAGAGGCGAGUGGAAUUCCCGGUGUAGCGGUGAAAUGCGCAGAUAUCGGGAGGAACACCAAUGGCGAAGGCAGCUCGCUGGGACGGUACUGACGCUGAGGUGCGAAAGCGUGGGGAGCAAACAGG